Long non-coding RNA from Pieris rapae (cabbage white), 538 nucleotides. RefSeq lists it as uncharacterized. The record is from RefSeq and is a predicted model, not a curated record. Lineage: Eukaryota; Metazoa; Arthropoda; Insecta; Lepidoptera; Pieridae. The transcript has 4 exons.
UAUAAAUAAAUCAGAAUGGAUCAGAUUUUUUCAGAUUGUCAACAUGUUCCGACUGUUUCUCUUCGCUUGUGUAUUCAUAUUUGUUAAUGCAAAACUGUCUACAAACGUGAAUCGAUGUGGUAGAAAUUUAGGUGAAUUACCUCUCCAUAUAUAUAUACAGGGCUGCAUAAACCCCCCCUGCCGAGUGGUGACGGGUCAGGAUGUGGUGGUCAACGUUCUCUUCAAAGUUCCUCGUACAACUCGCAGAAUGACGACGAAAGCAUUGGCCAUGUCAUCCAUAAAGUAUGAUCUUAAGGAGUAUGCAGUUACAUGCAAUUAUCUAAAAAACACAAAAUGCCCAGUUUUCAAAGAUCAAAUAGUUGAAUAUAACAUGCGUAUGCGCGUAGAGUCAUGGUUUCCAGCUGUCCGAUCUAUGCCCAUACAGUUUCGAGUUGUAGACGAAAAAGAAGCCCCUAUUUGGUGUAUCAGCACUACGAUCGAAGUGAGAAGACCUUCCCAUAAACAAUUACUUUGAUUAAAUAAAAACUUAUUCAAUUUU